RNAcentral lists this non-coding RNA (29 nucleotides) under Mus musculus (house mouse). The record is from RNAcentral. Lineage: Eukaryota; Metazoa; Chordata; Mammalia; Rodentia; Muridae.
UGAUGUAACUUACCUUUUAGAUGUUCAGU